GCUGGCGGCAGGCCUAACACAUGCAAGUCGAGCGGCCGUAGCAAUACGGCAGCGGCAGACGGGAGAGUAACACGUGGGAACGCGCCCUUCGGUUCGGAAUAACUCAGGGAAACUUGGGCUAAUACCGGAUACGCCCUUACGGGGAAAGAUUUAUUGCCGAAGGAACGGCCCGCGUCCGAUUAGCUUGUUGGUGAGGUAACGGCUCACCAAGGCGACGAUCGGUAGCUGGUCUGAGAGGAUGACCAGCCUCACUGGGACUGAGACACGGCCCAGACUCCUACGGGAGGCAGCAGUGGGGAAUAUUGGACAAUGGGCGCAAGCCUGAUCCAGCCAUGCCGCGUGAGUGAUGAAGGCCCUAGGGUUGUAAAGCUCUUUCAGCGGGGAAGAUAAUGACGGUACCCGCAGAAGAAGCCCCGGCUAACUUCGUGCCAGCAGCCGCGGUAAUACGAAGGGGGCUAGCGUUGCUCGGAAUUACUGGGCGUAAAGCGCACGUAGGCGGAUUGUUAAGUCGGGGGUGAAAUCCUGGAGCUCAACUCCAGUACUGCCUUCGAUACUGGCGAUCUCGAGUUCGGGAUAGGUGA
Molecule: ribosomal RNA, 581 nt
Filed under: uncultured soil bacterium
Lineage: Bacteria
Description: bacterial SSU rRNA
Rfam family: Bacterial small subunit ribosomal RNA
Source: RNAcentral